Molecule: ribosomal RNA, 408 nt
Filed under: uncultured bacterium
Lineage: Bacteria
Description: partial 16S ribosomal RNA
Rfam family: Bacterial small subunit ribosomal RNA
Source: RNAcentral
GACGAACGCUGGCGGCGUGCUUAACACAUGCAAGUCGAACGGAGUGGCGAACGGGUGAGUAACACGUGGGUGACCAGCCCUGCCUUUCGGGCUAAGCCUGGGAAACUGGCGCUAACAACGGCUAGUGUGGGAUGGGCCCGCGGCCUAUCAGCUUGUUGGUGGGGCACUGGCAUACCAAGGCGGCGACGGGUAGCCGGACCUAGAGGGUGGCCGGCCCCAUUGUGCCUGGGAGACGGCCCAGACUCCUCCGGGAGGCAGUGGUGAGGAGUAUUGCACACUGGGCGGAAGCCUGAUGCAGCGCCGCCGCGUGGGUGAUGACGGUCUUCGGGUUGUAAACGCCUUUCACCAUCGACGCGGUAGAUGGAGAAGAGGCACCGGCUAACUACGUGCCAGCAGCCGCGGUAAUAC